Molecule: long non-coding RNA, 305 nt
Filed under: Malus domestica (apple)
Lineage: Eukaryota; Viridiplantae; Streptophyta; Magnoliopsida; Rosales; Rosaceae
Description: long non-coding RNA (MDOM_LNC015107)
Source: RNAcentral
CUUUAGCCUUGGGCUCAACAACAUUAAUUCCUAAUCUCUUCUCUUUCUUUUCCUAUUUUUAGAAGGGUCGCUCUCUCACUUUGUUGAGGAGAGCCUUUGUGGUUAUGGUUGUGGUCACUUUCUCAUUUUGAAGAGUAGAUCUUUAGCAAAGGUUAUGACUUACUACUCACCUCAUAUCUUAGAGUGACAAUUGUUGCAAAUUUGAGGUGGCGAUUUUGUGGUUUGUGUGCUUGUCAAGUGUUGAUGCAUAAAUCAGCGAGGACUUUGGUACAACAGAAAAUGUUGAGUUUGUGACCUUCGCUAGA